GAGUUUGAUCAUGGCUCAGGAUAAACGCUGGCGGCGUGCAUGAGACAUGUAAGUCGAACGGAUGACUCGGGCUUGCUCGAGUCGUUAGUGGCGGACGGCUGAGUAACGCGUAGGUGACCUGCCCGGAAGUGGGGAAUAACUGCCCGAAAGGGUGGCUAAUACCGCAUGUGUUCACAGGUUCGAUCAUGUGAGCAAAGCCGUAAGGCGCUUCCGGAGGGGCCUGCGUACGAUUAGCUCGUUGGUGGGGUAACGGCUCACCAAGGCGACGAUCGUUAGGUGGUCUGAGAGGACGAUCACCCAGACUGGGACUGAGACACGGCCCAGACUCCUACGGGAGGCAGCAGUCGGGAAUUUUGCACAAUGGGCGAAAGCCUGAUGCAGCAACGCCGCGUGAGGGAUGAAGGCCUUCGGGUUGUAACCUCUUUAUCUAGGACGAUGAUGACGGUACCUGAUGAAUAAGCCACGGCUAACUACGUAGCCAGCAGCCGCA
Molecule: ribosomal RNA, 490 nt
Filed under: uncultured bacterium
Lineage: Bacteria
Description: bacterial SSU rRNA
Rfam family: Bacterial small subunit ribosomal RNA
Source: RNAcentral